Pogoniulus pusillus (Red-fronted tinkerbird) is the source of this 1199-nucleotide long non-coding RNA. RefSeq lists it as uncharacterized. NCBI's taxonomy places the organism in Eukaryota, Metazoa, Chordata, Aves, Piciformes, Lybiidae. The transcript is spliced from 3 exons. The record is from RefSeq and is a predicted model, not a curated record.
GAGGCCAGGAGGAAGCAGGAAAGAGUUUUAGUCAGCUAAAAGAGGCUGGAAGGUUUUAGGAAGCUCUAGGAAGUUUCAGCAAAGGGUGCAGGCCAAGAUUUCUUGCCCAGGAAGCUAAAAUGAAUAUCUUAACUGGAAAGAUGUUCUGCAGGCAACCCACUGCGCAGAGGAGAUGUCAGCUCCAAAGGUCUCCAGAUCUGUCAACUUUCAAGCAACUUGCUGAGAAGAGAUUAAUUUUCCACCUCAGUAUAUCUCCUGUGCUACAGGAGCAGCAGCAGCAUUGCCACAGGAUGCUUUCAAAACCCCUCCAGCCCAAGUGAUGUCAGCUUCAAAGGCUUCCCAGCACAGCAGACAGAGCUUUCGCCUUCCACAGCCUACUCCAGUGUAGGAUCUGAGGCCAGCCUGUGGGGUUUCAGUUGUUUAACCGAGAGCUCUCAAGGUGCAGCAAAGAACACGGUUGUAGAUAACAGCAGGCACCCGGUGUGCUGGGAGCUGCAGCGGGGAAGCCGAGAUGAAGGGGCUGGUGAUUCUCAUGCAGAGGGAUUUCUCUAUCCUGCUACUGAGAGAGUCAUGAUAAAUUUGUCCUUGCACAUAGAAACCUCAAGAGCUUCUCGGGCUUAUGUUGGAUUAGAGGAAGAAGGAAACAUAACCAAAGCCAUCCCAAGGCCAAAGGAAAGCCCCAGCUCCCAGGGGCCAGGCAGCUAAUUCCUGAAUGCUGCUGGAUGAACUCAAACCAGGGUUUGGCUGUGGCAAAGCUUUCUCUUCCUGCACUCUUCUGGGCAGCUUUUCUGGUAGAGGAAGUUGUUUAAGAUGCCGACAAAGAUGACAAUGUAUGGAGUGAUUUCUUGCUGUUCCUGAUUUACUGAAACACACACUUGACUUGGUUUUCUCCUAAGAUUGUGUUUAAUGUUAAGCAAGCAGGGCUAUUCAGUUGGAGUAAACUAUGUGCACGGUCGAAUGUGCUGCUCCAUUUAGCCUUAUUUUUUUUAAUAGAACAUCCUGUUUAUGCAGUUGAGGAAGAGUAAAAUGCCUGUCCAGGAAAAUUUCUCCUCCUUUUAAAACAAAUGCAUGCAAAUUGCUGGCUGUGUCACACCAGGCUGUAACUGGGAAGGACAGAACAAGGAACAGACACAGGGAAGCUUCAGCUAAUAACAUCUAUUCACAGAGGAGAGGGAAAGAGCAGGAAAAGGUCAGCGUAG